GACGAACGCUGGCGGCGUGCUUAACACAUGCAAGUCGAACGGUAAGGCCCUUCGGGGUACACGAGUGGCGAACGGGUGAGUAACACGCGGGUGAUCUGCCCUGCACUUCGGGAUAAGCCUGGGAAACUGGGUCUAAUACCGGAUAGGACCACUGCCUGCAUGGGUGGUGGUGGAAAGCUUUUGCGGUGUGGGAUGGGCCCGCGGCCUAUCAGCUUGUUGGUGGGGUGAUGGCCUACCAAGGCGACGACGGGUAGCCGGCCUGAGAGGGUGACGGGCCACACUGGGACUGAGAUACGGCCCAGACUCCUACGGGAGGCAGCAGUGGGGAAUAUUGCACAAUGGGCGCAAGCCUGAUGCAGCGACGCCGCGUGAGGGAUGACGGCCUUCGGGUUGUAAACCUCUUUCAGCACCGACGAAGCGCAAGUGACGGUAGGUGCAGAAGAAGGACCGGCCAACUACGUGCCAGCCGCCGCGGUAA
Molecule: ribosomal RNA, 478 nt
Filed under: uncultured bacterium
Lineage: Bacteria
Description: partial 16S ribosomal RNA
Rfam family: Bacterial small subunit ribosomal RNA
Source: RNAcentral